UACAGAGGGGGCAAGCGUUGUUCGGAAUUACUGGGCGUAAAGGGCGCGUAGGCGGCCUGCUAAGUCGAACGUGAAAUCCCCGGGCUCAACCCGGGAACUGCGUCCGAUACUGGCAGGCUUGAAUCCGGGAGAGGGAUGUGGAAUUCCAGGUGUAGCGGUGAAAUGCGUAGAUAUCUGGAGGAACACCGGUGGCGAAGGCGGCAUCCUGGACCGGCAUUGACGCUGAGGAGCGAAAGCGUGGGGAGCGAACAGG
RNAcentral lists this ribosomal RNA (253 nucleotides) under uncultured bacterium. Its description in RNAcentral is "partial 16S ribosomal RNA". It matches the Rfam family "Bacterial small subunit ribosomal RNA", at positions 524 to 776 of the family's 1533-position model. The record is from RNAcentral.